RNAcentral lists this transfer RNA (72 nucleotides) under Camelus bactrianus (Bactrian camel). It matches the Rfam family "tRNA". Rfam says of the family: Transfer RNA (tRNA) molecules are approximately 80 nucleotides in length. Their secondary structure includes four short double-helical elements and three loops (D, anti-codon, and T loops). Further hydrogen bonds mediate the characteristic L-shaped molecular structure. tRNAs have two regions of fundamental functional importance: the anti-codon, which is responsible for specific mRNA codon recognition, and the 3' end, to which the tRNAs corresponding amino acid is attached (by aminoacyl-tRNA synthetases). tRNAs cope with the degeneracy of the genetic code in two manners: having more than one tRNA (with a specific anti-codon) for a particular amino acid; and 'wobble' base-pairing, i.e. permitting non-standard base-pairing at the 3rd anti-codon position. RNAcentral also lists the same sequence under 2 other names. The record is from Rfam by way of RNAcentral. Lineage: Eukaryota; Metazoa; Chordata; Mammalia; Artiodactyla; Camelidae.
GAAGGUAUAGCUCAGUGGUAGAGCGCAUGCCUAACAUGCAUGAGGUCCUGGGUUCAAUCCCCAGUAUCUCUA